UCAAUGGGACAUGUUGGUUGUGCUGGUGGAGGGUAUGGCACCACUGGUGGUGGUGGUGGUGGGCAUGGUGUUUCACUUGGAGGGCUUGGUGGCGUCACAGUAGGGGGUGUUGGUUCUGGCACAGGAAUAACAGGAGGGUAAACAAUGGGUGGCUUUGGCACAUAAGGUGGUCUAACUGGGACGACUGGUGGUUUAGGAACGUAAGGAGGUGUAACCGGGACAACCGGUGGUUUAGGGAUGUAGGGUGGUGUAACUGGGACGACUGGUGGUUUAGGGAUGUAAGGAGGAAUAACCGGAACAACAGGUGGUUUAGGGAUAUAGGGUGGUGUGACAACAGGAGGCUUAGGAAUGUAAGGUGGUGUGACAACUGGUGGAUUGGGGACAUAUGGUGGUUUUGGGACAUAGGGGGGUGGUUUGACAACUGGAGGUAGUGGAACAUAAGGAGGAUGUGGGUGAAGUGGUGGCUUAGGGUGAGGUUUUGGGACAUAGGGGGGGUGUGGAUGCACUGGUGGCUUAGGGUAGUGAGGAGGUUUUGGAACAUAGGGUGGAUUCACAUGUGGAGGUUUGGGAGAUGAGUGGGGUGGAGGACAGGGUUUGGGUGGUUUGUGAACUGGUGGUGGCUUCACUAUGGGGUGGUGUUUGGGGGGCUUAGGAGAGGGGUAAGGGCAAUAAGGACAAGCAAGAACAUUGAGCAAGGUGGUGAAGUUGAAGAGAAGGAACAAGAGGAGAUUGGGUAGGGCAAACUUUCCCAUGACUGGAGAUUGUGUAGGGAAAGAGAAAGAGG
Molecule: long non-coding RNA, 784 nt
Filed under: Phaseolus vulgaris (common bean)
Lineage: Eukaryota; Viridiplantae; Streptophyta; Magnoliopsida; Fabales; Fabaceae
Description: long non-coding RNA (PVUL_LNC002467)
Source: RNAcentral